GGAAAAGGAGACCCAAGCUUCACAAUUCUUAUAUAAUUGCUUUCCCUUUCUUUCUCUCUCUUUCUCUCUUUCUUCUUUCUUUU
RNAcentral lists this non-coding RNA (83 nucleotides) under Paramoeba aestuarina. The record is from RNAcentral. Lineage: Eukaryota; Discosea; Flabellinia; Dactylopodida; Paramoebidae.